This 1674-nucleotide ribosomal RNA is filed under the name Salmonella enterica. Its description in RNAcentral is "partial 23S ribosomal RNA". It matches the Rfam family "Bacterial large subunit ribosomal RNA", at positions 1154 to 2784 of the family's 2925-position model. RNAcentral also lists the same sequence under 1 other name. The record is from RNAcentral. Lineage: Bacteria; Pseudomonadati; Pseudomonadota; Gammaproteobacteria; Enterobacterales; Enterobacteriaceae.
CGUAUCACCCAAGACAACUUUACGGAGUUGACGAUUGACGGAGCGAAGCGACGUCAAAGCGUUCAUUAAAGUCGAGUUGGCUUAGGGAUACGUUCGUUGGGUAGGGGAGCGUUCUGUAAGCCUGUGAAGGUGUGUCGUGAGGCAUGCUGGAGGUAUCAGAAGUGCGAAUGCUGACAUAAGUAACGAUAAAGCGGGUGAAAAGCCCGCUCGCCGGAAGACCAAGGGUUCCUGUCCAACGUUAAUCGGGGCAGGGUGAGUCGACCCCUAAGGCGAGGCCGAAAGGCGUAGUCGAUGGGAAACGGGUUAAUAUUCCCGUACUUGGUGUUACUGCGAAGGGGGGACGGAGAAGGCUAUGUUGGCCGGGCGACGGUUGUCCCGGUUUAAGCGUGUAGGUGUGUGUUCCAGGUAAAUCCGGUUCACUUUAACACUGAGGCGUGACGACGAGGCACUACGGUGCUGAAGCAACAAAUGCCCUGCUUCCAGGAAAAGCCUCUAAGCAUCAGGUAACACGAAAUCGUACCCCAAACCGACACAGGUGGUCAGGUAGAGAAUACCAAGGCGCUUGAGAGAACUCGGGUGAAGGAACUAGGCAAAAUGGUGCCGUAACUUCGGGAGAAGGCACGCUGACACGUAGGUGAAGUGAUUUACUCAUGGAGCUGAAGUCAGUCGAAGAUACCAGCUGGCUGCAACUGUUUAUUAAAAACACAGCACUGUGCAAACACGAAAGUGGACGUAUACGGUGUGACGCCUGCCCGGUGCCGGAAGGUUAAUUGAUGGGGUCAGCGUAAGCGAAGCUCCUGAUCGAAGCCCCGGUAAACGGCGGCCGUAACUAUAACGGUCCUAAGGUAGCGAAAUUCCUUGUCGGGUAAGUUCCGACCUGCACGAAUGGCGUAAUGAUGGCCAGGCUGUCUCCACCCGAGACUCAGUGAAAUUGAACUCGCUGUGAAGAUGCAGUGUACCCGCGGCAAGACGGAAAGACCCCGUGAACCUUUACUAUAGCUUGACACUGAACAUUGAGCCUUGAUGUGUAGGAUAGGUGGGAGGCUUUGAAGUGUGGACGCCAGUCUGCAUGGAGCCGACCUUGAAAUACCACCCUUUAAUGUUUGAUGUUCUAACGUGGACCCGUAAUCCGGGUUGCGGACAGUGUCUGGUGGGUAGUUUGACUGGGGCGGUCUCCUCCUAAAGAGUAACGGAGGAGCACGAAGGUUGGCUAAUCCUGGUCGGACAUCAGGAGGUUAGUGCAAUGGCAUAAGCCAGCUUGACUGCGAGCGUGACGGCGCGAGCAGGUGCGAAAGCAGGUCAUAGUGAUCCGGUGGUUCUGAAUGGAAGGGCCAUCGCUCAACGGAUAAAAGGUACUCCGGGGAUAACAGGCUGAUACCGCCCAAGAGUUCAUAUCGACGGCGGUGUUUGGCACCUCGAUGUCGGCUCAUCACAUCCUGGGGCUGAAGUAGGUCCCAAGGGUAUGGCUGUUCGCCAUUUAAAGUGGUACGCGAGCUGGGUUUAGAACGUCGUGAGACAGUUCGGUCCCUAUCUGCCGUGGGCGCUGGAGAACUGAGGGGGGCUGCUCCUAGUACGAGAGGACCGGAGUGGACGCAUCACUGGUGUUCGGGUUGUCAUGCCAAUGGCACUGCCCGGUAGCUAAAUGCGGAAGAGAUAAGUGCUGAAAGCAUCUAA